GACAUACUCCCUCCAUCAGAAAAAACUUGUCCCAAGCUUGUCCCUCAAAUGGAUGUAUCUAGCACUAACUUGGUGCUGCUAAGAUACAUCCAUUUGAGGGACAAGCUUUUUCGGACGGAGGGAGUAUCAA
Molecule: non-coding RNA, 130 nt
Organism: Triticum aestivum (bread wheat)
Lineage: Eukaryota; Viridiplantae; Streptophyta; Magnoliopsida; Poales; Poaceae
Source: Rfam